This 86-nucleotide transfer RNA is filed under the name Candidatus Woesearchaeota archaeon. Its description in RNAcentral is "tRNA-Leu". It matches the Rfam family "tRNA". Rfam says of the family: Transfer RNA (tRNA) molecules are approximately 80 nucleotides in length. Their secondary structure includes four short double-helical elements and three loops (D, anti-codon, and T loops). Further hydrogen bonds mediate the characteristic L-shaped molecular structure. tRNAs have two regions of fundamental functional importance: the anti-codon, which is responsible for specific mRNA codon recognition, and the 3' end, to which the tRNAs corresponding amino acid is attached (by aminoacyl-tRNA synthetases). tRNAs cope with the degeneracy of the genetic code in two manners: having more than one tRNA (with a specific anti-codon) for a particular amino acid; and 'wobble' base-pairing, i.e. permitting non-standard base-pairing at the 3rd anti-codon position. The record is from RNAcentral. Lineage: Archaea; Nanobdellati; Candidatus Woesearchaeota.
GCGAGGGUAGCAAAGUUCGGCUAAAUGCGCAGGACUUAAGAUCCUGUCCCUUAGUGGGUUCGAGGGUUCGAAUCCCUUCCCUCGCA